UUUUUUUUUUUUUCUUUUGGCCUCACCUGUGGCAUGAGGAACUUCCCAGGCCAGGGAUUGAACCCCUGCCACAGCAGUGACCUCAGCCACUUCACUGACAACACUGGAUCCUUAACCUGCUGCACCAUCAGGGAACUCCAGGAAAUUUUUUUUUUUGGUCUUUUUGCCUUUUCUAGGGCGGCUCCUGUGACAUAUGGAGGUUCCCAGGCUAGGGGUCGAAUCAGAGCUGUAGCUGACGGCCUACACCACAGCCACAGCAACGCUAGAUCCGAGCUGCAUCUGUGACCUACACCACAGCUCAUGGCAACACUGGAUCCUUAACCCACUGAGCGAGGCCAGGGAUCAAACCCGCCACCUCAUGGUUCCCAGUCGGAUUCGUUAACCACUGUGCCACAAUGGGAACUCCUCCAGGAAUUUAAAAAAAAAAGAAAGAAAACCCUCAUUUUACCUUUAUUGCUCUCGUUAAAGAGGUCCUGACAUUUUCAGAGCAAACACCAAAACUUAUGUGAGUGAUACAGUAUUUGGUAAGAAUGUUCAGACAUGAAAAUACAUAAGUGAUGUAUUUAUCAUAUGAUCCAUUAUUUGUUUUUGGAGGAAUUUUUAGCAGUUUUCUUUGAAAGGCCUAGGGAUAGAGUGGUAAACAUCAGUGCAGAUAGCCUGUAGGACUUUUAAUGGAUGUAAUAAUUAUGAAGAAUUCAUUUCCAGUAGGAAAUGGUCCCUUGUUCAUUGAUGGGGAAGACAGCGUGAGCCAAGUAGGAGGUGGAAAUACCUCCUCUCUACAGAUGCACCAAAAAUGGUGGCUACCACUAGGGGCCAUAUCUGGGGUGGAACUGAGCCGAAGAGCCCCCUGAGUGGCAUGUGUAGAUGAAGAGCUGUAUGUAAGAGGCCAGAGUGUCCUCGUGUCAAUGGGUAGUGGCUCUGCUUCUUAGGGAGAGAGAAUAGUGUCUUAAUGUCAUUUCUUAUAAGUGCUUUGCUAUUAAAUCAUUAAUUAUAGAUCCAGAUCUCCCUCUGGUCCCAAGACUAUAAUGAAUUGCAGGUGAGGACCAGGCAAAUGUCAUCAUCUCAGGUGUGAGAGGACCCUCCUGGGGGAGUAGAUUUACCAGGAUUCGAAUCCUUCAGUGGCUUUGUUCCGUCGGAUGCACUGAUUACCAAUGAGACACUUCUAUGCGUGUUGAUACAGGAAAGAGCUGUAGUUACCAGUGCGGGUAUUGGGGGUGGGGACAGCAGACCAGCCUCACAGCACUGUUUUCUCUCUGUCCUCUUUUCUCAGGAUUUUCUGGGACUAAAAAGGAAAAUAUUUUUCUGAUAGUUUGGCAGAACACUUAAUUAGAGGUGAUAAUGCAAAGUUAUCACAGCAGCUCUGUGCAUUCGGAUGAUGAGUUGGACUUAACAUAUUUAAUGGUACUUGCUCACCAGCUGUUUAGUGAUUAGAGAACAAUAUACUGAACAUGGCACACAAACAAACAAAUGUAUAGUGUCACUCUUUGAAAACUGAAUAGGCUGAAGUUAGACUGCAUAUAAUUGCUACACAACCCAAACUGAGCAUGUAGGGUCCCUGCAGAGAUGGACAACCUUGUCAGGAGCAUCUGCCAGCCUGAGCUGACAUUUGGGGCUCCCCAUGGAAUGGCUUGCAGCUGAGUCUGACCAUUGGCAAGCAGUAGGUGAGUUGAUCUGUUCAGUCAGAAUUGGUUGAUGUAGGAGCUCCCUGGUGGCUCAGUGGGUUAAGGACCAAGCAUCGUCACUGCUGUGGCUCUGCUUACUGCUGUGGUGGGGGUCCCAUCCCGGGUUGGGGAACUUCUGCAUGCUGAAUUUCUCAAGUGUAUUUAUUUUCCCCCUUCAUACAGACAAAACCUCUAAAUUCAUUGUGUUGAAUUUUCUUAACCUUUAAUCACUUGUGUUUGAUAUCACGUCUUCAUAGCUGGUUUCCUACUUACUCAGUUUCUUUCAUCUUCAAUCUUCUUAGACUUUAAGAGAGACAGUUACUUCAUCUUUCCUUUGAUCUUCACCUGGUGGGUGUGUCAGCUGUGUCCAUCAGUUUCACCAACCUGUUUCUAUGAAACACUAGAUAAAAUGUUUAAUCUAUUAUGCCAGGGCCUAUGGAUUAUAAAAAAAUAGCAGGCUGGUUUGAUUUUUAAAAACUGUGCUCUGUGCUUUAUGGGAAAAAAAUCAGUAAAGCUGGUUCUUUAUCUUAAUAAAACCUGACACAUGGUCGCUUGCCUUUUUAGAUUUUUUUUUUCUUCCAUUUUGGCUGCUCUGCUGCUUAUGGAGUUCCUGGGCCAGGGAUCAUAUCUGAGCCGCAGUUGUGACCUCAGCCACAGCUGUGGCAAUGCCAGAUUGUUAACCCACUGUGCUGGCCAGGGUUGAACCUGCGUCCCAGUGCUCCCAAGAUGCCACCAAUCCCAUAGCGCCAUGGCACAAACUCCACCUUUUUAGUUUUCAGUUGGCUCUAUGGGUAUCAUAGUCUGCUUCUGAGACUCAGCUAUGCAAGGGCUUCGCGUUUUAUAUGUAUCCAUGAAGAUGGGGGCUUGAUCCCUGGCCUCGCUCAGUGGGUUAAGGACCCGGUGUUGCCACAAGCUGCAGUGUAGGUUGCAGUCACAGCUCGAAUCUUUCGUUGCUGUGGCUAUGGUAUAGGUUGGCAGCUGCAGCUCCGAUUUGAUCCCUAGCCUGGGAACUUCCAUGUGCCGUGAGUGUGCCUG
This 2696-nucleotide long non-coding RNA is filed under the name Sus scrofa (pig). Its description in RNAcentral is "lncRNA (ENSSSCG00005007713.1)". The record is from RNAcentral. Lineage: Eukaryota; Metazoa; Chordata; Mammalia; Artiodactyla; Suidae.